CCGGCAGAGAGCAGCAUUUGUUUUAAAUCUGGAAAAUCUAUACUUAUUGUAUUUUUUAAUAAGGAUUUUUGUGGAGUUAUGAAUUGCAUCACCGUAGAGCUUCCAACAUUCACAUCACAUUUGCCAAUCUUUCUUCGGUGACGGCAUACGACAGUUUUUAAAUCGUUGUGAUGGUUUUUUGAGACGCACAAAUCAUAUGAUUUUUCCCUCCCCUCCCACAGUUAUGACAUCGAUCGAUUUUAUUUUUGGGAAACGUAGUUCCUAGAGAGUAAAUUCCAAUUACUAUGGUGUAAUUAGUUUUGUUUUUGUUUUAGAGUCGUUAGCCGUUAUAUAAAUUACUACGGGUGUUUUAUGUUUUCGGUUAUUAGCUUAGUAAACUUUUGGAUGAUAUUUUUUUAGUUUAAAUAAAGAUAUAAAUUAUG
Long non-coding RNA from Anthonomus grandis grandis, 422 nucleotides. RefSeq lists it as uncharacterized. NCBI's taxonomy places the organism in Eukaryota, Metazoa, Arthropoda, Insecta, Coleoptera, Curculionidae. The transcript has 2 exons. The record is from RefSeq and is a predicted model, not a curated record.